UACGUAGGGGGCAAGCGUUGUCCGGAUUCAUUGGGCGUAAAGAGCGUGUAGGCGGCCAGGUAGGUCGGUUGUGAAAACUGGAGGCUCAACCUUCAGAGGUCGACCGAAACCAUCUGGCUAGAGUCCGGGAGAGGAGAGUGGAAUUCCUGGUGUAGCGGUGAAAUGCGCAGAUAUCAGGAGGAACACCUAUUGCGAAGGCAGCUCGCUGGGACGUUACUGACGCUGAGACGCGAAAGCGUGGGGAGCAAACAGG
This 253-nucleotide ribosomal RNA is filed under the name uncultured bacterium. RNAcentral's name for it is "partial 16S ribosomal RNA". It matches the Rfam family "Bacterial small subunit ribosomal RNA", at positions 524 to 776 of the family's 1533-position model. The record is from RNAcentral.